This 522-nucleotide ribosomal RNA is filed under the name uncultured bacterium. RNAcentral's name for it is "partial 16S ribosomal RNA". It matches the Rfam family "Bacterial small subunit ribosomal RNA", at positions 355 to 870 of the family's 1533-position model. The record is from RNAcentral.
UGGGGAAUUUUGGACAAUGGGCGAAAGCCUGAUCCAGCAAUGCCGCGUGUGUGAAGAAGGCCUUCGGGUUGUAAAGCACUUUUGUCCGGAAAGAAAUCCUUGGCUCUAAUACAGUCGGGGGAUGACGGUACCGGAAGAAUAAGCACCGGCUAACUACGUGCCAGCAGCCGCGGUAAUACGUAGGGUGCAAGCGUUAAUCGGAAUUACUGGGCGUAAAGCGUGCGCAGGCGGUUUGCUAAGACCGAUGUGAAAUCCCCGGGCUCAACCUGGGAACUGCAUUGGUGACUGGCAGGCUAGAGUAUGGCAGAGGGGGGUAGAAUUCCACGUGUAGCAGUGAAAUGCGUAGAGAUGUGGAGGAAUACCGAUGGCGAAGGCAGCCCCCUGGGCCAAUACUGACGCUCAUGCACGAAAGCGUGGGGAGCAAACAGGAUUAGAUACCCUGGUAGUCCACGCCCUAAACGAUGUCAACUAGUUGUUGGGGAUUCAUUUCCUUAGUAACGUAGCUAACGCGUGAAGUUGACC